AUGUCACUGGGGGCCGUCACACCCUGCCCAGGCCCAGGAAGGAAUUAUUGUCAGAUGAAAAUGUUCCUUCAGCAAGUCUGCUCCGUCACUUGGGGACACUGCCACUGUGACAGUCAGCAGGAACAGGAGGAGAAAAAGAGGGAGAGAGAAAGAAAGAGAGACAAGGACAGAGAAAGAGAGAGAAAGGAAGAGAAAGAGAAGGAAAGAGAAGCAAAGAGAGAGAAAGAGACGGAAAGAGAGAAGGAAAGAGAGAAAAGAAGAGAAAGAGAAGGAAAGGGAAAGAAGAGAAGGAAAGAGAGAAAGAAAAGGAAAGAGGGAGAGAAGGAGAGAGAAAGAGGAGGAAAGAGAGAAAGAAGAGAAGGAAAGAGAAGCAAAGAGAGAGAAAGAGACGGAAAGAGAGAAGGAAAGAGAGAAAAGAAGAGAAAGAGAAGGAAAGAGAGAGAAGGAAAGGGAAAGAAGAGAAGGAAAGAGAGAAAGAAAAGGAAAGAGGGAGAGAAGGAGAGAGAAAGGAGGAAAGAGAGAAAGAAGAGAAGGAAAGAAGAGAAGGAAAGAGAGAGAAGGAAAGAUAAGAGAGGGAAAGGGAAAGAGAGAAAUAGGAAAGAGAGAAGGAAAGAGAAAGAGAAGGAAAGAGAGAAAGAAAAUGAAAGAGAGAAGAGAAGGAAAGAGAAAGAAAAGGAAAGGAGAGAGAAGGAGAGAGAAAGAGGAGGAAAGAGAAGAGAGAAAGAAGGAAAGAGAAAAAGAAAGAAAGAAAAGAAAGAAGGAAAGAGAAAGAAUGAAAGAGAGAAAGAGAAGGAAAGAGAAAUAAAAUGAAAGAGAAAGAAAAGGAAAGAGAGAAAGAAAAGUCAGAUAAGAGAGGAAAAGAGAAGGAAAGAGAAAAAGGAGUGAAAGAAGGAAAGAGAAAGAAAAGGAAAGAGAAGAGAGGGAGAGAAGGAGAGAGAAAGAGGGGGAAAGAAAAAAGCAAAGAGAAGGGAAGAGAAAGAAGGAAAGAGGAAGAAAAGGAAAGAGAGAGGAGAGAGAAAGAGGAAGAAAAAGAGAAGCAAAGAGAGAAAGAGAAGAGAGAGAAAGAGAAAAGAAAAGGAAAGAGAGAAGAAGGAGAAAAGAGAAGAUGCCAGCUUGGUGAGAGGGUGCAGCGAUAAAGCACAAGUCUGGGAACAGGACAGAGAAAAGACAGGGACAAGAAAAAGGAGAGAGGAAGAGCAGUGGAGGCGAGUAGGAGAGACAUAAAGAACCAUAGAACCAUUUAGGUUAGGAAAGAACUGUGAGAUGUUUCCAUUGACCAAAAAUUGUUAUGCAGAUGAAAUUCACCUCAUCUUGUUUCUAAGUGCAGCCAAUUUUGUAAGGAACAGAGCUUAAAUAAAGAUAUCUUUUCCAUAUCUGUAGUUUUUCA
RNAcentral lists this long non-coding RNA (1387 nucleotides) under Parus major (Great Tit). RNAcentral's name for it is "lncRNA (ENSPMJG00000002732.1)". Lineage: Eukaryota; Metazoa; Chordata; Aves; Passeriformes; Paridae. The record is from RNAcentral.